Molecule: microRNA, 20 nt
Filed under: Ornithorhynchus anatinus (platypus)
Lineage: Eukaryota; Metazoa; Chordata; Mammalia; Monotremata; Ornithorhynchidae
Description: oan-miR-7434-3p
Source: miRBase by way of RNAcentral
AAUGUUACGGACAAAGAUGG